RNAcentral lists this long non-coding RNA (499 nucleotides) under Sus scrofa (pig). Its description in RNAcentral is "lncRNA (ENSSSCG00070002295.1)". The record is from RNAcentral. Lineage: Eukaryota; Metazoa; Chordata; Mammalia; Artiodactyla; Suidae.
AGGAUGGGCCAAGAGAAGCUCCAUCCGUGCUUCAUCCCACCCCCACCCCUUGACUCUCAGCCCAUGUCCAGUCAGGUGAGGUGCCCAGAGUACCUCCCGAGCAGCACCACCGCCUUGCUGACAGUGACUGUGUGUCCCCCUAGCAACCCUCGAUGAUGUUGUGGAGGCCGGCGGGAGUGAGAAGACGGAGGAAGAGGCCCUGGCUGGGGCAAAUGAGGAGGAGGUGGGGCCGGGAACUGAGAAGGUGCAGGAGGAGGCUGCCUGCAUUGACGAGGCAGAGGAGGAGGCAGGCCCAUCCCUUGAAAAUGACGAGGAGUCCCCAGCCAGCGACCUGGUUGAGCAGGAAGACCAGCUUGCCCCCAAGGUGGACGGGAUGGACGAUGAAAGCCGUAAGUAUUCUGGAACCCGGCUCUGCUGAGGAGAAGUCCAGGUGUUGAGGAAGGGCGGGGGUGCUUUCCUGCCCCUUUGGUUUGCAGAGACACCCUGAUUCUGGUUCCUC